UGAGGAAUAUUGCGCAAUGGGCGAAAGCCUGACGCAGCGACGCCGCGUGGGGGAUGAAGGCCUUCGGGUUGUAAACCCCUGUCAGGAGGGACGAAGCGGCUUCGUGCCGUGACGGUACCUCGGUAGGAAGCCCCGGCCAACUACGUGCCAGCAGCCGCGGUAAGACGUAGGGGGCGAGCGUUGUCCGGAAUUACUGGGCGUAGAGAGCUCGUAGGCGGCCUGUUAAGUCGGAUGUGAAAGCCCCCGGCUCAACCGGGGAAUUGCAUCCGAUACUGGCAGGCUAGAGUCUGGUAGAGGGAGGUGGAAUUCCCGGUGUAGCGGUGAAAUGCGCAGAUAUCGGGAGGAACACCGGUGGCGAAGGCGGCCUCCUGGGCCACGACUGACGCUGAGGAGCGAAAGCUGGGGGAGCGAACA
Molecule: ribosomal RNA, 414 nt
Filed under: uncultured bacterium
Lineage: Bacteria
Description: bacterial SSU rRNA
Rfam family: Bacterial small subunit ribosomal RNA
Source: RNAcentral